RNAcentral lists this non-coding RNA (31 nucleotides) under Mus musculus (house mouse). Lineage: Eukaryota; Metazoa; Chordata; Mammalia; Rodentia; Muridae. The record is from RNAcentral.
UGAUGAUGUAGUUCCUGUGUCUGGGUGUUUU